RNAcentral lists this ribosomal RNA (554 nucleotides) under uncultured Planctomycetota bacterium. RNAcentral's name for it is "bacterial SSU rRNA". It matches the Rfam family "Bacterial small subunit ribosomal RNA", at positions 153 to 729 of the family's 1533-position model. Lineage: Bacteria; Pseudomonadati; Planctomycetota. The record is from RNAcentral.
GAAACUGCCGGUAAUACCGGAUAAUGUCCCCGGACCAAAGAUUUAUUGCCGGAGGAUGGGUCUGCGUCCUAUUAGCUUGUUGGUGGGGUAAAAGCCUACCAAGGCAAAGAUGGGUAGCGGGCGUGAGAGCGUGGCCCGUCUCACUGGGACUGAGACACUGCCCAGACACCUACGGGUGGCUGCAGUCGAGAAUCUUCCGCAAUGGGCGAAAGCCUGACGGAGCGACGCCGCGUGCGGGAUGAAGGCCUUCGGGUUGUAAACCGCUGUCAGUGGGGAGCAAAUUCAGUUUACUGAUUGAGCUAUCCGCAGAGGAAGCGCAGGCUAAGUUCGUGCCAGCAGCCGCGGUAACACGAACUGCGCGAACGUUAUUCGGAAUCAUUGGGCUUAAAGAGUUCGUAGGCGGCCUGAUAAGUUGGGCGUGAAAUCCCUCGGCUCAACCGAGGAACUGCGCCCAAUACUGUCAGGCUUGAGGGAGACAGAGGUGAGUGGAACUGAUGGUGGAGCGGUGAAAUGCGUUGAUAUCAUCAGGAACACCGGUGGCGAAAGCGGCUCAC